UGGGGAAUCUUGGACAAUGGGGGCAACCCUGAUCCAGCCAUUCCGCGUGAGUGAUGACGGCCCUAGGGUUGUAAAGCUCUUUCAACGGUGAAGAUAAUGACGGUAACCGUAGAAGAAGCCCCGGCUAACUUCGUGCCAGCAGCCGCGGUAAUACGAAGGGGGCUAGCGUUGUUCGGAAUUACUGGGCGUAAAGCGCACGUAGGCGGAUUGUUAAGUUAGGGGUGAAAUCCCGAGGCUCAACCUCGGAACUGCCUUUAAUACUGGCAAUCUAGAGAUCUAGAGAGGUGAGUGGAAUUCCGAGUGUAGAGGUGAAAUUCGUAGAUAUUCGGAGGAACACCAGUGGCGAAGGCGGCUCACUGGCUAGAUACUGACGCUGAGGUGCGAAAGUGUGGGGAGCAAACAGGAUUAGAUACCCCCGUAGUCC
Molecule: ribosomal RNA, 424 nt
Filed under: uncultured prokaryote
Description: bacterial SSU rRNA
Rfam family: Bacterial small subunit ribosomal RNA
Source: RNAcentral